RNAcentral lists this ribosomal RNA (932 nucleotides) under Salmonella enterica. RNAcentral's name for it is "partial 23S ribosomal RNA". It matches the Rfam family "Bacterial large subunit ribosomal RNA", at positions 1227 to 2141 of the family's 2925-position model. The record is from RNAcentral. Lineage: Bacteria; Pseudomonadati; Pseudomonadota; Gammaproteobacteria; Enterobacterales; Enterobacteriaceae.
GGUAGGGGAGCGUUCUGUAAGCCUGUGAAGGUGGCCUGUGAGGGUUGCUGGAGGUAUCAGAAGUGCGAAUGCUGACAUAAGUAACGAUAAAGCGGGUGAAAAGCCCGCUCGCCGGAAGACCAAGGGUUCCUGUCCAACGUUAAUCGGGGCAGGGUGAGUCGACCCCUAAGGCGAGGCCGAAAGGCGUAGUCGAUGGGAAACGGGUUAAUAUUCCCGUACUUGGUGUUACUGCGAAGGGGGGACGGAGAAGGCUAUGUUGGCCGGGCGACGGUUGUCCCGGUUUAAGCGUGUAGGUGUGUGUUCCAGGUAAAUCCGGUUCACUUUAACACUGAGGCGUGACGACGAGGCACUACGGUGCUGAAGCAACAAAUGCCCUGCUUCCAGGAAAAGCCUCUAAGCAUCAGGUAACAUCAAAUCGUACCCCAAACCGACACAGGUGGUCAGGUAGAGAAUACCAAGGCGCUUGAGAGAACUCGGGUGAAGGAACUAGGCAAAAUGGUGCCGUAACUUCGGGAGAAGGCACGCUGACACGUAGGUGAAGUGAUUUACUCAUGGAGCUGAAGUCAGUCGAAGAUACCAGCUGGCUGCAACUGUUUAUUAAAAACACAGCACUGUGCAAACACGAAAGUGGACGUAUACGGUGUGACGCCUGCCCGGUGCCGGAAGGUUAAUUGAUGGGGUCAGCGCAAGCGAAGCUCCUGAUCGAAGCCCCGGUAAACGGCGGCCGUAACUAUAACGGUCCUAAGGUAGCGAAAUUCCUUGUCGGGUAAGUUCCGACCUGCACGAAUGGCGUAAUGAUGGCCAGGCUGUCUCCACCCGAGACUCAGUGAAAUUGAACUCGCUGUGAAGAUGCAGUGUACCCGCGGCAAGACGGAAAGACCCCGUGAACCUUUACUAUAGCUUGACACUGAACAUUGAGCCUUGAUGUGUAG